Long non-coding RNA from Brassica napus (rape), 1736 nucleotides. RefSeq lists it as uncharacterized. The record is from RefSeq and is a predicted model, not a curated record. The transcript has 6 exons. Lineage: Eukaryota; Viridiplantae; Streptophyta; Magnoliopsida; Brassicales; Brassicaceae.
CCACCCUCCUCUUUUGUUCUUAUCGUGGGCUUUAACAAAAAAUAAUGACUUCCACACUUCAAGUUUGAGCCCAUACUAAAUAAACCUCAUUGUUCAGUCAUCAUCUCCACAUCCCUAAUUUUUUUCCAGUGCAGAACGGCGAGGAUUGUAACGGCUGUAAAUCACUUCAAGAGGUCACUAUUAACCUUGCCAUUCAUUCACAGUUAAAGCAAGAACACACUUCGUCUCAUUUAUUUCCCAUCACCAUCCUCUUCAGCUUCCUCGCAAACUCUCUAAUAUCUCAAACCUGUAAAAAGGGGUCUCGGCACCAUGAUUUUCACAGUUUCAUCUCAAUAUAACACUCAACAUACAGACACAGAACUUGAAGAACAAUGGCGACUUCCCAGAUAUCGCUUUCCGAGCUGAAGGCCGGACGUGCAACUAAACCGCUUUCACACGCCUUCUCUGUUUUUAGGAAGCUCGGAAUGUGAAGAAAAGUGGUCAAAGUCGACAUGCGACUCUUGGAUGAUAAGUAAUCUCUCAUCCAAGCAUCUGUAUCGGUCUAUCUCCCGAACACAUUCAGACAACUUCUUAGGGAGGGAGCUAUGUAUGAAGUGAGUGAGUUUGAAAUGACCAGAUGUAACAAUCAUUUCAAGUUUUGUGACUCCAACUUGGCCAUCCAAUUCAACAAUUUCACUAAGUUCAUCGAGGUGCAUGCUGUCCCUAAUCCUAUCCCAACCGAGAAGAUCAGGCUCCAUAAAUUUGAAGAACUUAUGAAUUUGGCAAAUACAAAUGUCCAAUUGCCAAAAUCAUUGGUGAAGUAAGCAACAUCAGGACAAUAUACAAUGACAAGAGCCAGACUACACAACGUGUUAUGGUCCACAUCAAAAUUGAUAAGUAACUUCUCUCCACAUAGAAAUUUUUUUAAAAUUCCCAAGUAUCUUAAUCUCAACUCUUACUAAAAUUUAAUUAAAAUAUAUACUUUUGGUGCGCUACACAACUGUCUUUCUAAGCUUUUUGACAGCCUUGCUGAACUCCUCCACAACAGACUUGAAACUGGUGUCCGCCGGCCAACAGUGAUGCUAGCUAUCAGCAUCAACCCAAAGUUAGUUGGAGGCCGUCUCUUCCUAAAUUCAAUUUUUGAAUCACACUUCAACUUUGAAAUGAGGUGGUAGCAAGUCAAACUUUAUUCGUUGAUUACCAGGUUGUGUGCCACAACCGAAAAUGACUCCACCAGUGUAACCAAAUACGGUGGAGUCAAGAAGCUGGAGACUAUUUCAUUACCGGAUUGGAACACCUACGUUUUAACCCUCCCCCCCCCCCCCCCCCCCCCCAGGUUUGUUUUCUGAUUUUACACCUACUCAAGCUUCCUAAUACUCAGGACAUUAAACCCCAUAUAACUCACUUUAACACAGAAUAUUGAGUUCAUAUGCACUGCCAAACUGUGAACGGAUGGUGCUACAUCUCAUCUGCUAAGUGUUCUAAAAAACUCCAGCGUGGUGUCUCCUUCACAUGCACUACAUGUUUUAACGCAAGUGCUGUUGGAGUUUUGAGAGAUUACCACCAGGAAACCCAUCAAAGAAAGCCCGCAAAGCUUAGUUUCCAGCACGGAGCACUCGAUGCACUCGCAAUAUACUUUUCCAAAUAAGGGUUAAGAGUCUAUCAUAGUUUAACAUUUCUCUUCGUUUUGGAUAUGUUUCUUAGUAACAUUUUUUUUUUAUGAUAUAUACGAAAUGAAAAUUUCCAGAAACUUUAAA